Molecule: long non-coding RNA, 280 nt
Filed under: Brachypodium distachyon (stiff brome)
Lineage: Eukaryota; Viridiplantae; Streptophyta; Magnoliopsida; Poales; Poaceae
Description: long non-coding RNA (BDIS_LNC005711)
Source: RNAcentral
UUAAGCAUGUGAAUUCAACAACAAGUUACAGGAUCUCAACAAUAACAGCAAGAUCAAGCAAGAACAGACAAUGAACAAGAAGAGAAAGGGGGUCAGGGACAGAGUUUACAGGAGAAUUUUUGCUGCAAUUGAGGUGCUAAGGACAAGGGAAAGACUGCUAUGCCUAGCUAUACUAUGAAUUCGCAGAUGAAGCUUCUUAAUCUUCAUGAACAUCCAUGGAUCUCGCCAUCUUCUUCUCCCUUCUUCCUCUUUUCCCCAGUUUCUCGAUCUCAACCAUUCC